AACCACCUGACCCCAUGCCGAACUCAGAAGUGAAACGCUGUAGCGCCGAUGGUAGUGUGGCAUUCGCCAUGCGAGAGUAGGACACUGCCAGGC
Molecule: ribosomal RNA, 93 nt
Filed under: Aeromonas sp.
Lineage: Bacteria; Pseudomonadati; Pseudomonadota; Gammaproteobacteria; Aeromonadales; Aeromonadaceae
Also listed under: 3 other names
Source: RNAcentral